AAUGAACGCUGGCGGCGUGCCUAACACAUGCAAGUCGUACGAGAAAUCCCAAGCUUGCUUGGGAGAGUAAAGUGGCGCACGGGUGAGUAACGCGUGGGUAAUCUACCCCCAAAUCUGGGAUAACUCCGCGAAAGCGGUGCUAAUACCGGAUAAGACCACAUCCCGUCUGCGGGAAGAGGUAAAAGCUGACCUCUCCAUGGAAGUUAGCGCUUGGGGACGAGCCCGCGGCCUAUCAGCUUGUUGGUGGGGUAACGGCCUACCAAGGCUACGACGGGUAGCUGGUCUGAGAGGAUGAUCAGCCACACUGGAACUGGAACACGGUCCAGACUCCUACGGGAGGCAGCAGUGAGGAAUUUUGCGCAAUGGGGGAAACCCGGACGCAGCAACGCCACGUGGGUGAAGAAGGCUUUCGGGUCGUAAAGCCCUGUCAGGUGGGAAGAACCGUUUCGAUACUAAUAAUGUCGAAGCCUGACGGUACCACCAGAGGAAGCACCGGCCAACUCCGUG
RNAcentral lists this ribosomal RNA (507 nucleotides) under uncultured bacterium. RNAcentral describes it as "bacterial SSU rRNA". It matches the Rfam family "Bacterial small subunit ribosomal RNA", at positions 29 to 507 of the family's 1533-position model. The record is from RNAcentral.